Molecule: long non-coding RNA, 556 nt
Organism: Quercus robur (English oak)
Lineage: Eukaryota; Viridiplantae; Streptophyta; Magnoliopsida; Fagales; Fagaceae
Exons: 3
Source: RefSeq, a predicted model, not a curated record
UCAAAAUUUCUCACCUCACUUUGCUCUCUUUUCUCUUAAGGAAAGAGCUAGAAGCUCUCUUGAGUCCCUUUUGUCAAACCCAUGGGUCCACACAUUAAAAGAAAGAUAAGGCUCUAUUUCUUCUUCACACCCUCUCAAAGAAACUAGAAAACUCAAAGACUCUCUCAAGCUCUUUGCCUCUCAUACUUUCAGGUUCAGCCACUAGGAAAGGGAAAUCCUUUCAUGCAAGAGUGAUUCUACUUCUAUUUCCCCUCAAGAACUAGAAACUUGGUGUUACCAGUAUCCAAGCCUAAGCUCUUUCAACUGUAGGCCUUCGGUUCCUUUGCUUUCAGUCAACAGGUUUUAUUUUGGAGCAGAGGGAGCCUUAGUCGAGUUUUGGAAUGAGCUAAUUUUAGUUUUAAAAGUAUAGAUCCCAAAUUAGCAAUUUGAUGUUUAGUUUUGUAGUAUUGUGUAUUUUAGGAUCUAAUGAAAGUUGUAUACCUUAAAGUAUUAAGAGAUGUAUUAUGUGAAAUUUAGAAUUUGAGUAAUUGGCGGAUUAUGUUAUUCUUUGAAUACA